GACGAACGCUGGCGGCGUGCUUAACACAUGCAAGUCGAACGGAAAGGCCCUGCUUGCAGGGUACUCGAGUGGCGAACGGGUGAGUAACACGUGGGUGAUCUGCCCUGCACUUCGGGAUAAGCCUGGGAAACUGGGUCUAAUACCGGAUAGGAGCCAUUUUUAGUGUGAUGGUUGGAAAGUUUUUUCGGUGUAGGAUGAGCUCGCGGCCUAUCAGCUUGUUGGUGGGGUAAUGGCCUACCAAGGCGGCGACGGGUAGCCGGCCUGAGAGGGUGGACGGCCACAUUGGGACUGAGAUACGGCCCAGACUCCUACGGGAGGCAGCAGUGGGGAAUAUUGCGCAAUGGGCGCAAGCCUGAUGCAGCGACGCCGCGUGGGGGAUGACGGCCUUCGGGUUGGAAACUCCUUUCGCUAGGGACGAAGCUUUUUGUGACGGUACCUAGAGAAGAAGCACCGGCUAACUACGUG
RNAcentral lists this ribosomal RNA (465 nucleotides) under uncultured bacterium. RNAcentral describes it as "partial 16S ribosomal RNA". It matches the Rfam family "Bacterial small subunit ribosomal RNA", at positions 28 to 507 of the family's 1533-position model. The record is from RNAcentral.